CUUUCAUAAAUGUCACCAAUGCACAGCCUCCUCCCUCCAACUCCUCCAUAGACUCUAAUGUUAAAAUGGCUCAGAAGGUUCGUUUGAAACCAGAAGUACAGGCUGUCUUUACACUGUCACCACGUCCAUAUAAUAAACUCCACAAGCAUGAAAACUGAGAAUUAGGUAGACUGGACAUUGCUGUCGCUCACGGUGAAAGAAUUUUGUCAAUAGGACCUGUACUUUUCAUUUGGGAGCGAUUUGUUUCGACCUGACUUUUCUGUUCAUUUUAAGCAGCAAAAGUGAGGUGCAUGUCUGUGCGUGUGUGUAUGGAGCCAGUGGGUGCAGUCACUAUAGCAACCAGGCUCACACCUGCCUGCCUAAUGAGCUCUCUCUCACUCUGCCAAUAUUCAUCUUAAACACUUCUCUUUCAACUACUGCUGUGUCCACAGUGUUUGCUCUACAGCCAUCAUUUACCCUCAAAACGUCGCCAUCGUUGUUCUCUUUCCAACACGUGUCUUUCAAAGUCAGACAUUUAAAAUUUUUAAACUGUGUGGAUCCAAGUGGAGGGAUCACAUUUUAGUCAUUCAGUGAUUCAAAGAAUAUGAACUUUUAAUAUUCAUUCAGAUGUUUUCUGACUCUAAAUUUUCUUUUCUCAUUUCUAAGGUUUUUCUAAUUUACAUUUAAAACAUUUUCAGCCAUUUUCCAACUUCUUCUCUGUGCUUGUCAGCUUUUAGCAGUUCAGCACUUUUGUUUUCAGGUGCAAAUUUCUGUAUUUUCAUCUCAUUCAACAUUUUUAACUUAAAAUUCAGCAAUUAAUUCUUUCAGUGCAUAUAUUCAGAUUCAAGCAUUCACACUGCAGUUUCUUCAGAAAAUGCACUUUCUAGUUAGUGUGAAUGCUUGUAAAAGCAUUCACAGUAUUGUUGUUGUAAUCUUUAUUAUUAGUGUGAAUGCUUGUAAAAGCAUUCACAGUAUAGUUGUUGUAAUCUUUAUUAUUAUUAUUAUAUAUUCCGUACGUUUUUUGGCAUCUAUCUCCUUCAAAACCGUUCAACUUAGAAAAACCAUUCAAACACCGUUAGAUUCCUCUUCUUUUGGACAUGACUGCUUCUAUUUUCUCAUUUAUAACAUUUAUAUUUUUAAAUUAUUCAACUUUUUCAACAAAAAUUUCCCAUGUAUUUCAAUGGGGAGACCCUUCAAAUCCUCAUUCAACUUACUCAUUUUCAAACUGUAUCUACUUCACAUACGUUGACAUAGAGCCACCAUUCAAACUUUAAAACGAAGACAAGACAUUCAACUAUUCAACUUGUAUUUAUCUUUUCAAUAUCUAUUAUACUUUUUCUUCAGUUCCAGUUUAAGUUUCAUGAUGUUUUUCAGCCGUUUCAGAGUUUAUAAUGGGUGUGUAUGGGACGGAAUGUUGGGGCUAGAGUGAGACAGCUCAACUGCUAGAGUGAGAGGAGCGAAAAAAUUAAUCUAAAAUCUUUUUUAAAACUGCUGCUGUGUCCGCAGCGUUUGCUCUACAGGUAUGAUUUUACCCUCAAAACGUAGCCAUCGCUGUCCUCUUUCAUCCAAUGUGUUUACUAUUGUACUAGGUGUUAUGGUUCUUUCAUAAAUGUCACCAAAGCACAGCCUCC
Long non-coding RNA from Oreochromis niloticus (Nile tilapia), 1610 nucleotides. The record is from Ensembl. Lineage: Eukaryota; Metazoa; Chordata; Actinopteri; Cichliformes; Cichlidae.